Molecule: RNA transcript, 4139 nt
Organism: Prosopis cineraria
Lineage: Eukaryota; Viridiplantae; Streptophyta; Magnoliopsida; Fabales; Fabaceae
Gene name: B3 domain-containing transcription factor VRN1-like
Exons: 12
Source: RefSeq, a predicted model, not a curated record
CUCGCCACAAAUCCAAAAUUCAAAGUCAAUGAAAAGGCUCGCUUGAGUGAACAGAGAGCUCCGAGGGGAGAAAGGAAAGAUUCUUGCUUCUGAAGAAAAACCCACACAAGCCAUGGCUUCUCAUUCUCACCCUUCCAGCCCUAUCUGUUUCUUCAAGAUCAUCUUGAAAUCCAAUCUUGAAUCCAUUAGGAUUCCAAACAAAUUUACUGGGAGAUAUGGAAGUGGUUUGUCAAACCCAGUGUUUCUAAAGCCUCCUGAUGGGAAAGAGUGGAAAAUGCAUCAGACAAAACAUGACAAUGAGAUUUGGUUUCAAGAGGGUUGGAAGGAAUUUGCCAGCUUUUACUCUUUGGAUGAAGGGCAUUUGGUUUUGUUCAAAUAUGAAGGAACUUGUCAGUUUGAUGUACACAUAUUCGAUAAGAGUGCACUAGAAAUAGACUAUCCUUCUUCAUCUAAGAAUAAUCUCAGUGAUGAUACACUUGAAAUCUUGGAUGAGAUGCCUCCAAACCAAAAGGCUACGCACAAAACGCCUUUGUCAUCUUCUAGGCCUUGUAAGAAAAUGAGAAGUCUGCAGAAUUUGCCGGUGGCCUUCAAAACUAAUCCCGGCCAGUGUCAAGGAACAGAGUUCCAGAAAUCAACCAAUGCAGAAUUGAAGCUUUGUAAGCAGGAACCAGAGGAUGAUGGGGAAUCAGGAAUUUUUACCAAGAGUACUGCCUGCUUGAAUUCUGAGCAAAGAAGGAAGAAAGCGACAACUACCGUGGAAAAGAUCAGAGCUUUAAUCAGUGCCAGUUCUUUCAAAUCUGAAAAUCCCUUUUUCAAGGUAGUCAUGCAGCCUUCACAUGUCAGUGGUAAAUGUUACUUGGUGAUGCCUAUAAAAUUUGCUAAAAGACAUUUGAAGAAAGAGUGUGGUGUUGUGCAACUUGAGGUCUUGGAUGGGAGAACUUGGCCUGCUAGGUAUAAGAUUCCCAUAAUUGGAGUUGGAUGGGAGAAAUUUGUAAUGGAUAAUGGUUUGAACGUGGGUCAUGUUUGUGUUUUUGAAAUGAUCGGUCGCACAUUCAAAGUACAUAUUUUCAGAGACGAUGAAGAAGGAAAUCUGAAUGUUAUUCCUUUUAAAGAUGAGCAAAUCAGCAGUUUGCAACAGACUCCUCUUGAAGAGGCUAGCUCUUUCAAAUCUGAACAUCCUCAUUUUAUGGUUAAGAUGACACAUGCUUACAUUUUUCGUGGCUCAAACUUGAUGUUGCACUUCUUUUUCGUUUAGGAGGUGGAGCAUCUUCAACUUGGGAAGCUCUAGGUUCAAAAGCAAGUCAAAACCACAGAAAAGAAGCAAUUAUCAACAGAGGAGCCUAGAGGUCGAACCUAGAGCUGGAGCAUGCUGCUGCGUUUGUAUGCGGGCGUCUGCUAGCAGAGUAGAGCUGAGGUCGAUGCUGGAGGUGGAAGCCUAGAGCGUGUGUCUGCGUGCGUGCGUGUGCUAGCUAAAGCCGCGAUGAAGAAGGACUUGAAUGUUGCGUCUGCUAGCUGGAGGCUUGGAGCUGGAAGAAGGACGAGAAUCUCACACAAGCCGCGAUGAAGAUCAGGUGAACAGUGGAGAAAUUAGCCAGGCGAACUUGCGAAGUGGUGGACGCCGGACGAAACGACAGGGCAGACGAAGAUGACGCCGGACAGAACACCGAUAAUAGCUGAAGCAAUCUCAACUCUCACAGGCGAAGAUGAAGAUGAUCUCACGGCAUCACACUGGUUACGGUACGGGUAGAUGAAUGAUGAAGCGAGGCCGCGAGGUUUUUGAUUUCUGAAGCAGUGGAGCUUAGGACUGGAUUGAUUUGGAGUUUUGGACAACUGGACAAGGUCACGAAGCGUGGGUUCUAAUCUGACUCUAGAGCUUGGACUGGAUCACUGUGGACGGUAGCAGUUGCACUAGCAGACCACUGGAUUGAAGUUUGCCAAAAAAAAAUAUAAUAUAUAUACGGGCGGGUAUGGGCCACCCGAGAGUUAACCCGUUACCCGCCUGUUUAUACUUAUACAGGUAUUACCCGCCCAUACCCGUUUUCCUUCCCUCACUAAAUGGGUAUGGGUUGACCCGUUUCUAAACGGGUAGGGUGGGUUUGGGCGAGUUGAUGGGUUUUCGGGUAUAUUGCACACCCCUACUUAAAAGCAAGUCGAGGAAGGCAAUAGAAAAGCAAAAUUCAAGCUGGCGCUGUGGGAAAAAUGAAAAGGCUUGCUUGGAUGAACAGAGAGCACUGAGGAAGGAGGAAAGAUUCUUGCUUCUAAAGAAAAGCCCAUACAAACAAUGGCUUCUCAUUCUCACCCAUCCAGGCCUAUCUAUUUGUUCAAAAUCAUCUUGAAAUCCAAUCUUGGAUCCAUUCAAACACAACUUCACAGAGGAAUCCAAACAAAUUUACUGGGAGAUAUGGAAGUUGUUUGUCAAGCCCAGUGUUUCUAAAGCCUCCUGAUGGGAAAGAGUGGAAAGUGCAUUGGACCAAACAUGAUAAUGAGGUUUGGUUUCAAGAUGAUUGGAUGGAAUUUGCUAGCCUUUUCUCUCUGGACGAAGGGCAUUUGGUUUUGUUCAAAUAUGAAGGAACUUGUCAGUUUGAUGUACUCAUAUUCAAUAACUGCGCGCUAGAAAUAGACUAUCUUUCUUCAUCUAAAAAUAAUCUCAGUGAUGAUACUGUUGAAGCCUUGGAUGACAUGCCUGCAAACCGAAAGGCUGUGCGCAAAACACCUUUGUCAUCUUCUAGGCCUUGUAAGAAAAUGAGGAGUCUGCAGAAUUUGCCGGUGGCCUUCAAAACUAAUCCCGGUCAGUGUCAAGGAACAGAAUUCCAGAAAUCAACCAAUGCAGAAUUGAAGCUUUGUAAGCAGGAACCAGAGGAUGAUGGGGAAGCAGGAGAUUUUACCAAGAGUUCAACAUGCUUGAAUCCAAGCAUAGAAGGAAGAAAGCAUUGACUACUGUGGAAACGAUCAGAGCUUUAAUCAGUGCCAGUUCUUUCAAACCUGAAAAUCCCUUUUUCAGGGCAGUCAUGCAGCCUUCACAUGUCAGUGGUAAAUGUUACUUGGUGGUGCCAACAAAUUUGCUGAAAGACAUUUGAAGAAAGACUGUGGUGUUGUGCAACUUGAGGCCUUAGAUGGGAGAACUUGGCCUGCCCGGUAUAAGAUUCCAAGAAUCGAAGAUGGAUGGGAGAAGUUUGUAAUGAAAAAUGAUUUGAAAUGGGUCAAGUUUGUGUUUUUGAGCUGAUCGGUCACACAUUCAAAGUACAUAUUUUUAGAGAUGAAGAAGAAGUUAAAAGCAGGAAGAGGACUUGCAAUCUUGCAGAAGAUCUGAAAGCUAUUCCUUUUAAAAAGGAGCAGAUCAGCAGUAUGCAACAGACUAGUUCUUUCAAAUAUGAAAAUCCUCAUUUUAUGGUUAAGACGACCCAUGCUUAUAUUCAUGGCACAUCAAACUAAGAUGUGCCAUCACAAUUUUCAAGAACACAUCUUCAUGACUGUACUAAGAGUGUCAAACUUCUUGUACAAGAUGCAGAUUGGCCUGUUGAGUACGUAGUUAGAAUAACUUAUCCAGGAAGUCAAGUUCGUGAAUUUUCUUGUGGAUGGAAGCGAUUUUGCCAGGAUAAUGCCUUGAAAGUAGGUGACGUUUGCAUCUUUGAGCUCAUUCCGGGCGUCAAACAUACAUUUUGAGUAAUAAUUUUACGAGCCACAAAACACCUAGUUUACUCCAUGAGCUCAGGUAAAGAGAAAAACCAAUUCAGUCACAAAAUUAUGGAUUAUUCUGUCUGAUCUGCUGGACAAUAAUUCUGAAACUUUCUUCAAAUCACACUUUCAAGGGUGGAGAAUAGACUCAAAUCCUCUUCAGUGACUCAAAACUUACCAGUCGAUUUCGAAUGUUUUAUUGCUUUCAAUUUUCUUUUGACAUUGUGCAGUUGGGGAGCAGGAAGCCAACACAGUUCAUUGCAGCUUAGGUCCUGAGAUUCACUUCUGAGAAUAACUUCUUUCGCUGUAUAUGGACUUGUCAUUUGCUGAACACCAGUAUGGUUUAAUUAGGGAACAGAAUAUGUUUUGCUUUGUGAGACAUAAAGAUCAUUAGCUCUUGGCGUAUUUCAUGAACAACUUUGGAGUACAACCAUAUACACUAUAUGAAAUGCUUGUUAUCAAGG